CAGUAGCCACGGGAAUACGUAGGGUGCAAGCGUCAAUCGGAAUCACUGGGCGUAAAGCGUGCGCAGGCGGUUUGUUAAGACAGAUGUGGAAUCCCCGGGCCUAACCUGGGAACUGCAUUUGUGACUGGCAAGCUAGAGUAUGGCAGAGGGGGGUGGAAUUCCGCGUGUAGCAGUGAAAUGCGUAGAUAUGCGGAGGAACACCGAUGGCGAAGGCAGCCCCCUGGGCCAAUACUGACGCUCAUGCACGAAAGCGUGGGGAGCAAACAGGAUUAGAUACCCCCGUAGUCCCUGUCUCUUAUAC
This 301-nucleotide ribosomal RNA is filed under the name uncultured bacterium. RNAcentral's name for it is "partial 16S ribosomal RNA". It matches the Rfam family "Bacterial small subunit ribosomal RNA", at positions 509 to 807 of the family's 1533-position model. The record is from RNAcentral.